This 538-nucleotide ribosomal RNA is filed under the name uncultured bacterium. Its description in RNAcentral is "bacterial SSU rRNA". It matches the Rfam family "Bacterial small subunit ribosomal RNA", at positions 338 to 857 of the family's 1533-position model. The record is from RNAcentral.
CCUACGGGAGGCAGCAGUGGGGAAUUUUGGACAAUGGGCGCAAGCCUGAUCCAGCAAUGCCGCGUGAGUGAAGAAGGCCUUCGGGUUGUAAAGCUCUUUUGUCAGGGAAGAAACGGCUGAGGCUAAUACCUUUGGCUAAUGACGGUACCUGAAGAAUAAGCACCGGCUAACUACGUGCCAGCAGCCGCGGUAAUACGUAGGGUGCAAGCGUUAAUCGGAAUUACUGGGCGUAAAGCGUGCGCAGGCGGUUUUGUAAGUCUGACGUGAAAUCCCCGGGCUCAACCUGGGAAUUGCGUUGGAGACUGCAAGGCUGGAGUCUGGCAGAGGGGGGUAGAAUUCCACGUGUAGCAGUGAAAUGCGUAGAGAUGUGGAGGAACACCGAUGGCGAAGGCAGCCCCCUGGGUCAAGACUGACGCUCAUGCACGAAAGCGGNGGGAGACAACAGAGUAGAUACCUACGUAGUCGACCGACCCGUAACCGACUAGUCUACUAGUUGUUCGGUUCGUUAAUUAGUACGUUAGGUAACGUACAGCUAACG